UUCGCAAUGCCCGAAAGGGUGACGAAGCGACGCCGCGUGCGGGAAGAAGGCCUUCGGGUUGUAAACCGCUGUCGGGAGUUAAGAAAUGUAAGGAUGUCAAUAGCAUCUUUGCUUGACUAAGGCUCCGGAGGAAGCCACGGCUAACUCUGUGCCAGCAGUCGCGGUAAUACAGAGGCGGCAAGCGUUGUUCGGAAUUAUUGGGCGUAAAGAGCACGUAGGCGGCUAUGUAAGUCGGUUGUGAAAGCCUUCCGCUCAACGGGAGAACAGCAUCCGAUACUGCAUGGCUUGAGUGCGGGAGGGGAGAGUGGAACUUCUGGUGGAGCGGUGAAAUGCGUAGAUAUCAGAAGGAACGCCGGCGGCGAAAGCGGCUCUCUGGCCCAUAACUGACGCUGAGUGUGCGAAAGCUAGGGGAGCAAACGGGAUUAGAUACCCCGGUAGUCCUAGCCGUAAACGAUGGGCACUAAGUAGAGGGGUUUU
This 477-nucleotide ribosomal RNA is filed under the name uncultured Planctomycetales bacterium. Its description in RNAcentral is "bacterial SSU rRNA". It matches the Rfam family "Bacterial small subunit ribosomal RNA", at positions 365 to 832 of the family's 1533-position model. Lineage: Bacteria; Pseudomonadati; Planctomycetota; Planctomycetia; Planctomycetales. The record is from RNAcentral.